Molecule: ribosomal RNA, 493 nt
Filed under: uncultured bacterium
Lineage: Bacteria
Description: partial 16S ribosomal RNA
Rfam family: Bacterial small subunit ribosomal RNA
Source: RNAcentral
AGUGAACGCUGGCGGUAGGCCUAACACAUGCCAGUCGAACGGCAGCACAGUAAGAGCUUGCUCUUACGGGUGGCGAGUGGCGGACGGGUGAGGAAUACAUCGGAAUCUACUUUUUCGUGGGGGAUAACGUAGGGAAACUUACGCUAAUACCGCAUACGACCUACGGGUGAAAGCAGGGGAUCUUCGGACCUUGCGCGAUUGAAUGAGCCGAUGUCGGAUUAGCUAGUUGGCGGGGUAAAGGCCCACCAAGGCGACGAUCCGUAGCUGGUCUGAGAGGAUGAUCAGCCACACUGGAACUGAGACACGGUCCAGACUCCUACGGGAGGCAGCAGUGGGGAAUAUUGGACAAUGGGCGCAAGCCUGAUCCAGCCAUACCGCGUGGGUGAAGAAGGCCUUCGGGCUGUAAAGCCCUUUUGUUGGGAAAGAAAAGCAGCAGGUUAAUACCCCGCUGUUCUGACGGUACCCAAAGAAUAAGCACCGGCUAACUUCGUGC